Molecule: long non-coding RNA, 429 nt
Filed under: Androctonus crassicauda
Lineage: Eukaryota; Metazoa; Arthropoda; Arachnida; Scorpiones; Buthidae
Source: RNAcentral
AAUUAAUCACCAGGGGGAGUUUGUGCUUUGGAUGGAUAUUUGGUUAAGCAUCACAAGGGCAGACAAAAGCAAGAAAAAUGUAUUUUUACCUAAAAAUACCUAUUCCAAUAAAAUAUUAGAAUAUAUUAAAUAAACAAAAUGCAAGAUAUCUGGCAAAGAUCCAACAAGCUAUACAGGCCCAGUUCUACCAGGUGUGCAGAGCGUGCGUGCACGAAGGCGGCCAAACAUAGAGGGCGGCCGCACGGCUCUGGAUUUUUGUCAUCGAAUGUCGGUAACGCUUCAAAGAAAAACCGGCAAGGCAAAUCUGAAAUACAACACACGAAUCUUAUGCACGAAUGCGGCACAUUAAUCAAGAAUGUUUUUAGUAUUUAGUGUUUGUUUCUACAAUCUUCAUUAUUGUAAAAAACACAAGUUGUCAGCUGGAUUGGC